AAGUCGUAACAAGGUAUCCGUAGGUGAACCUGCGGAUGGAUCAUUAAAAAAUCCAACUGGGAAAGGGAAAAGCAAUUUUCCUGGACCUUAAUACCUGUGAACUGGGAAUUGCAAAAUUCCGUCUUGUACUAUUGUAAUUAUUUUUCUUUAAAUUUUGGAAUUUGAAUUGCUUUUUUUUAAGCGAUUUGAAGGACAAAUUAAAUUAAAGACAACUUUCAGCAAUGGAUCUCUUGGCUCUU
This 239-nucleotide unclassified non-coding RNA is filed under the name fungal sp. Its description in RNAcentral is "partial internal transcribed spacer region". The stretch from base 1 to 46 matches the Rfam family "Eukaryotic small subunit ribosomal RNA", at positions 1786 to 1831 of the family's 1831-position model. Lineage: Eukaryota; Fungi. The record is from RNAcentral.